CCAGACUCCUACGGGAGGCAGCAGUGAGGAAUAUUGGUCAAUGGGCGGGAGCCUGAACCAGCCAAGCCGCGUGAGGGAAGAAGGUACAGCGUAUCGUAAACCUCUUUUGUCAGGGAACAAAGGCGGGGACUAGUCCCCGGAUGAGGGUACCUGAAGAAAAAGCAUCGGCUAACUCCGUGCCAGCAGCCGCGGUAAUACGGAGGAUGCGAGCGUUAUCCGGAUUUAUUGGGUUUAAAGGGUGCGCAGGCGGCCUGUUAAGUCAGGGGUAAAAUUUGGGGGCUCAACCCCGACAAGCCGUUGAAACUGGCUUGCUAGAGUGGGCGAGAAGUAUGCGGAAUGCGUGGUGUAGCGGUGAAAUGCAUAGAUAUCACGCAGAACCCCGAUUGCGAAGGCAGCCUUCCGGCGCCCUACUGACGCUGAGGCACGAAAGUGCGGGGAUCGAACAGGAUUAGAUACCCUGGUAAU
RNAcentral lists this ribosomal RNA (465 nucleotides) under uncultured bacterium. Its description in RNAcentral is "bacterial SSU rRNA". It matches the Rfam family "Bacterial small subunit ribosomal RNA", at positions 331 to 794 of the family's 1533-position model. The record is from RNAcentral.